UACAGAGGGUGCGAGCGUUAAUCGGAAUUACUGGGCGUAAAGCGUGCGUAGGCGGUUAUAUAAGUUAGGUGUGAAAUUCCUGGGCUUAACCUGGGAACUGCGCCUAAUACUGUGUAGCUAGAGUAUUGUAGAGGAAAGUAGAAUUUCCGGUGUAGCGGUGAAAUGCGUAGAUAUCGGAAGGAAUAUCAGUGGCGAAGGCGACUUUCUGGACAAAUACUGACGCUGAGGCACGAAAGCAUGGGGAGCAAACAGG
RNAcentral lists this ribosomal RNA (253 nucleotides) under uncultured bacterium. Its description in RNAcentral is "partial 16S ribosomal RNA". It matches the Rfam family "Bacterial small subunit ribosomal RNA", at positions 524 to 776 of the family's 1533-position model. The record is from RNAcentral.